GCAGUAGUAGCUCAGUGUCAGAGCACCGGUCUUGUAAGCCGGACGCCGGACGUUAAAACCCUCCCCACUGCU
Molecule: transfer RNA, 72 nt
Filed under: Psychrolutes paradoxus (tadpole sculpin)
Lineage: Eukaryota; Metazoa; Chordata; Actinopteri; Perciformes; Psychrolutidae
Description: tRNA-Thr
Rfam family: tRNA
About the family: Transfer RNA (tRNA) molecules are approximately 80 nucleotides in length.
Source: RNAcentral